This 915-nucleotide long non-coding RNA is filed under the name Salvia miltiorrhiza (redroot sage). RNAcentral describes it as "long non-coding RNA (SMIL_LNC007290)". The record is from RNAcentral. Lineage: Eukaryota; Viridiplantae; Streptophyta; Magnoliopsida; Lamiales; Lamiaceae.
ACUCAAAAAAUGUUGAAAGUUCAUAUACUUUCACGCAAAUAUAACCCAGAAAUGUAACACAUGCAAGACAACUUUGCAUAACUACAUAAACAAACUAUCAAAUCAUUUGUACAUAGCCUUAAGUCUAUAUAUACAACUCAAUUUUAUACUAAGAGUGUGUUUGCUUUUUAUCCCUCUAAAUGGAUGGAUAACAAAAAUUUAUGCCUUUAAAUGUUUGCUUUCUUAUCCCACAUUUUACACAACAUUAUUUUUCCUUCCUUAUUUUCACUUCAAGGAGGGAUAAUAUUAUCCCUCCAAUUUUGGUGUGAUAAUAUUAUCCCUCCUUGAAGUGAAAAAUAAGAAAAGAAAAAUUGUGUUUAUGUAAAAAUAUGGGAUAAAGAAAGCAAACAUUUAAAGGNAUCUAUAAAUAGGGCUCUUAUGCAUAGAAAUAGAAGGGAGACUCUUACUCUUCACUUGUACUUAUAACUCUUUUCCAAUAAUAAAAACUCUAUCAUUUUACCAUUUUACUAUCUAAUUUUAUUAUGGAAUUAUUCACAAACUCAUCAAUAAUAUUAUACUUUUUUCAUUAUUUUCAAUACACUCAAUAAUAUCGUUUAACUCCUAAAAAAUUAUUUAGGGAUGGAUGAAGUAUAUGUUGACAUUGACUCGAUUUUAAUUAGUAUAGUAAUUGAUUGAUAAAUGCAUCUACAGUGCAACAAAAAAACAUAUAGGUGUUUGUUUUUUAUCCCUCUAAAUGGAGGGAUAACAAAAAUUUAUGCCUUUAAAUGUUUGUUUUCUUAUCCUACAUUUUACACAAACACCAUUUUUCCUUCCUUAUUUUCACUUCAAGGAGGGAUAAUAUUAUCCCUCCAAUUUUGGUGUGAUAAUAUUAUCCCUCCUUGAAGUGAAAAUAAGGAAGGGAAAAUGAUGUUUGUG